RNAcentral lists this microRNA precursor (91 nucleotides) under Canis lupus dingo (dingo). Its description in RNAcentral is "mir-8799 microRNA precursor family". It matches the Rfam family "mir-8799 microRNA precursor family". The record is from Rfam by way of RNAcentral. Lineage: Eukaryota; Metazoa; Chordata; Mammalia; Carnivora; Canidae.
GGGGGGAGGCCAGAUCCUGGGCUGUGUCCCUGGUGUCCUGUGCUCCCAGCCCUGCACUGUUGGAUUUGCGCUCCUGGCCGCGCAGCCCCUU